RNAcentral lists this ribosomal RNA (468 nucleotides) under uncultured bacterium. RNAcentral describes it as "partial 16S ribosomal RNA". It matches the Rfam family "Bacterial small subunit ribosomal RNA", at positions 28 to 507 of the family's 1533-position model. The record is from RNAcentral.
GACGAACGCUGGCGGCGUGCUUAACACAUGCAAGUCGAACGGAAAGGCCCUGCUUUUGUGGGGUGCUCGAGUGGCGAACGGGUGAGUAACACGUGAGUAACCUGCCCUUGACUUUGGGAUAACUUCAGGAAACUGGGGCUAAUACCGGAUAGGAGCUCCUGCUGCAUGGGGGGGGGUGGAAAGUUUCGGCGGUUGGGGAUGGACUCGCGGCUUAUCAGCUUGUUGGUGGGGUAGUGGCUUACCAAGGCUUUGACGGGUAGCCGGCCUGAGCGGGUGACCGGCCACAUUGGGACUGAGAUACGGCCCAGACUCCUACGGGAGGCAGCAGUGGGGAAUAUUGCACAAUGGGCGGAAGCCUGAUGCAGCAACGCCGCGUGCGGGAUGACGGCCUUCGGGUUGUAAACCGCUUUCGCCUGUGACGAAGCGUGAGUGACGGUAAUGGGUAAAGAAGCACCGGCUAACUACGUG